Molecule: ribosomal RNA, 1569 nt
Filed under: Escherichia coli
Lineage: Bacteria; Pseudomonadati; Pseudomonadota; Gammaproteobacteria; Enterobacterales; Enterobacteriaceae
Description: partial 23S ribosomal RNA
Rfam family: Bacterial large subunit ribosomal RNA
Source: RNAcentral
GGGUUGUGAGGUUAAGCGACUAAGCGUACACGGUGGAUGCCCUGGCAGUCAGAGGCGAUGAAGGACGUGCUAAUCUGCGAUAAGCGUCGGUAAGGUGAUAUGAACCGUUAUAACCGGCGAUUUCCGAAUGGGGAAACCCAGUGUGAUUCGUCACACUAUCAUUAACUGAAUCCAUAGGUUAAUGAGGCGAACCGGGGGAACUGAAACAUCUAAGUACCCCGAGGAAAAGAAAUCAACCGAGAUUCCCCCAGUAGCGGCGAGCGAACGGGGAGGAGCCCAGAGCCUGAAUCAGUGUGUGUGUUAGUGGAAGCGUCUGGAAAGGCGCGCGAUACAGGGUGACAGCCCCGUACACAAAAAUGCACAUGCUGUGAGCUCGAUGAGUAGGGCGGGACACGUGGUAUCCUGUCUGAAUAUGGGGGGACCAUCCUCCAAGGCUAAAUACUCCUGACUGACCGAUAGUGAACCAGUACCGUGAGGGAAAGGCGAAAAGAACCCCGGCGAGGGGAGUGAAAAAGAACCUGAAACCGUGUACGUACAAGCAGUGGGAGCCUCUUUAUGGGGUGACUGCGUACCUUUUGUAUAAUGGGUCAGCGACUUAUAUUCUGUAGCAAGGUUAACCGAAUAGGGGAGCCGAAGGGAAACCGAGUCUUAACUGGGCGUUAAGUUGCAGGGUAUAGACCCGAAACCCGGUGAUCUAGCCAUGGGCAGGUUGAAGGUUGGGUAACACUAACUGGAGGACCGAACCGACUAAUGUUGAAAAAUUAGCGGAUGACUUGUGGCUGGGGGUGAAAGGCCAAUCAAACCGGGAGAUAGCUGGUUCUCCCCGAAAGCUAUUUAGGUAGCGCCUCGUGAAUUCAUCUCCGGGGGUAGAGCACUGUUUCGGCAAGGGGGUCAUCCCGACUUACCAACCCGAUGCAAACUGCGAAUACCGGAGAAUGUUAUCACGGGAGACACACGGCGGGUGCUAACGUCCGUCGUGAAGAGGGAAACAACCCAGACCGCCAGCUAAGGUCCCAAAGUCAUGGUUAAGUGGGAAACGAUGUGGGAAGGCCCAGACAGCCAGGAUGUUGGCUUAGAAGCAGCCAUCAUUUAAAGAAAGCGUAAUAGCUCACUGGUCGAGUCGGCCUGCGCGGAAGAUGUAACGGGGCUAAACCAUGCACCGAAGCUGCGGCAGCGACACUAUGUGUUGUUGGGUAGGGGAGCGUUCUGUAAGCCUGUGAAGGUGUACUGUGAGGUAUGCUGGAGGUAUCAGAAGUGCGAAUGCUGACAUAAGUAACGAUAAAGCGGGUGAAAAGCCCGCUCGCCGGAAGACCAAGGGUUCCUGUCCAACGUUAAUCGGGGCAGGGUGAGUCGACCCCUAAGGCGAGGCCGAAAGGCGUAGUCGAUGGGAAACAGGUUAAUAUUCCUGUACUUGGUGUUACUGCGAAGGGGGGACGGAGAAGGCUAUGUUGGCCGGGCGACGGUUGUCCCGGUUUAAGCGUGUAGGCUGGUUUUCCAGGCAAAUCCGGAAAAUCAAGGCUGAGGCGUGAUGACGAGGCACUACGGUGCUGAAGCAACAAAUGCCCUGCU